Molecule: ribosomal RNA, 675 nt
Filed under: Triticum aestivum (bread wheat)
Lineage: Eukaryota; Viridiplantae; Streptophyta; Magnoliopsida; Poales; Poaceae
Description: partial small subunit ribosomal RNA
Source: RNAcentral
AUGGCGAGGGGAAGAGGUCGCCCUUGUGCCUCAUCAGUGGCGACGAGAACUCCUCCUCGGCGCCAUGUUCCUGUCCCAACUGCUGCGGCAGGGGCUGGAUCCAGUGCACAAGGUGAAGCCGAGGGGCGCGGACGGGGUCGACGCAGCGCCCGUGGUCGAGGUGGACGGAGCGACGCGCUCGCCGCAUCUUCUUCUACUGCUCCAACACUGACAGAAGGCCACGCUGGGGAUACGACGUUGGAGUUCAUUGUCAAGCUGCGUUAUCCUCCACAUAACCGCCUGCGACUCCCUCGUCCUUUCACCAUGGUGAUGGAGGUUGACCAGCCACCUGGGCUGCGGUUGCGCAUGAGUGGCUGCCGCAAUGGCGAGGCGUGGGUGGAUGUCGAGUUCCCCAUGCCACACGCCAUGCUCCUUGGGCGCGGGUGGAAGACCUUCGCCCACGCCCACUCCCUUGCAGCGGGGCAUGUUCUCUCCCUCAAGUUGGUGGAGGCUGAUCUGCUCUCCAUCAAGGUCUUUGGGCAUUCAGGAGCUCGCCUUGGAUGCUGUAUGGAAAGCUCGAGCGAUGACGAAAGCUCCUCCUCGAGCGAUAGCGACAAGGAGGAGACCUGUGGAGAGGACGACGACAACGAGCCCCGGGUCGUCAAGCACGAAGGCGACAAUCCGGACUUUAGCUGA